GAGAAACCCUGUCUCGAAAAAACAAAACAAAACAAAAGCAUAAAAAUUAUCCUUACCAAAAAGUCUGACCAGUUAUUUCUAAUGCUAAUUAAAACUUAACACACGUGAUUUUUUUUUUUUUUUAAAGAUUUAUUUAUUAUUUUAUGUAAGUACACUGUAGCUGUCUUCAGACACACCAGAAGAGGGAGUCAGAUCUUGUUAUGGAUGGUUGUGAGCCACCAUGUGGUUGCUGGGAUUUGAACUCUGGACCUUUGGAAGAGCAGUCAGGUGCUCCUACCCACUGAGCCAUCUCACCAGCCCGUGAUUUUUUUUUUAAGAUUUAUUUUAUAUCUAAGGACACUGUAGCUGUCUUCAGACACACCAGAAGAGGGCGUCAGGUCUUAUUACAGAUGGUUGUGAGCCACCAUGUGGUUUCUGGGAUUUGAACUCAGGACCUUCAGAAGAACAGUCGGUGUUCUUACCCGCCGAGCCAUCUAUCUCUCCAGCCCCAUACGUGAUGGGUUUGUGUGUGUGUGCUGUUUUAAUGAACUUGGAUAAAUUCUGAUGGGUAUUUAUAGCAGUUAGUUGAUUUUUAGGAAUGAUGGAUAAAAGGUCUUAAUCUGUAAUAUAAAAUUUUUUAAAGGUGCUAGAAUAUUAGUAACUACAAAACGUUCUGAAUACCUCCCCUCAGUAUAGUCACAAGUAAUAGAAUUAAGACAAUUACAGAUCUAGACCAGACUUUGAAUUAGCUCUUCAAUUUUUUUAAAGUCUAAGUUACAUGUGUUUUCGUGGAGAACAAGUAUUAGAGUCUGUGAAAGAUCAAAAUAUAGUGUGUAAAACAAAAC
Molecule: long non-coding RNA, 824 nt
Filed under: Mus musculus (house mouse)
Lineage: Eukaryota; Metazoa; Chordata; Mammalia; Rodentia; Muridae
Description: long non-coding RNA chrX:101644522-101645346
Source: RNAcentral